UUUUAGUAAUUUAUAGUCGUUUUUAAAAAUUUAAAAUAUAACAUAUACAGAAAAAUCUCUUCACUUUGAUCGAAAUUAAGGAGAAACCAAUUCAAGAAGACCUUUAAUAGCAAGAUCUUUAUGCCAUUGAGCACAUUAACACCAAGAUUACACUUCAUAGAGCCAUAGAUGGAAGGGAUCCUAUUUUCAAUUUUGGAUCAUUAAUCAUGAAACUAAAACUAAUGUGAAACGGGUUAAAUAAAUCAAUUUUGACUAUCAUAUAGUUAUAUCUAUACAAUACUAAAAAUAUAUAAAAUAAAUAUAUAUCAUAUAGAAAAUAAAGGUUAUCUUAAUUUCCUGACAGAACUGAAUAACCUGAAUGCUUUUAAAUUAUUUUAAAUUAUCUGAUUUUUAUUCAAAAUAUCUAAAAAUGUGAUUUUAGUCGAAUUAUUUGAAAUUAUCAGGAACGAAACGAUAACCGAAUUGAACUCUAAAUUUUUCAAGUUUCUAACAUUGUUAUCCAG
RNAcentral lists this long non-coding RNA (503 nucleotides) under Brassica napus (rape). RNAcentral's name for it is "long non-coding RNA (BNAP_LNC005180)". The record is from RNAcentral. Lineage: Eukaryota; Viridiplantae; Streptophyta; Magnoliopsida; Brassicales; Brassicaceae.